Molecule: long non-coding RNA, 238 nt
Filed under: Homo sapiens (human)
Lineage: Eukaryota; Metazoa; Chordata; Mammalia; Primates; Hominidae
Description: non-protein coding lnc-CLINT1-5:1
Source: RNAcentral
GAGGAGAGGAGGGGAGGGGAGGGAAAGGGAAGGGGAAGUGAAGAAAAGGAGCUUGGAUUGCACAGUGGGGGUGCUUUUUGAGCCAGGACGAGCCAGGGAAAGGACUUUCACAAGGUAAUGUCAUCACUUAAGGUAAGGACCGGCCAUUUACACUUCUUUUGUGGUGGAAUGUCAUCAGUUAAGGUGGGGCAGGGCAUAUUCACUUAUUUUGUGAUUCUUCAGUUACUUCAGGCCAUCU